RNAcentral lists this ribosomal RNA (468 nucleotides) under uncultured bacterium. RNAcentral's name for it is "partial 16S ribosomal RNA". It matches the Rfam family "Bacterial small subunit ribosomal RNA", at positions 28 to 507 of the family's 1533-position model. The record is from RNAcentral.
GACGAACGCUGGCGGCGUGCUUAACACAUGCAAGUCAAACGGAAAGGCCCUGCUUUUGUGGGGUGCUCGAGUGGCGAACGGGUGAGUAACACGUGGGUAACCUGCCCUUGACUUUGGGAUAACUUCAGGAAACUGGGGCUAAUACCGGAUAGGAGCUCCUGCUGCAUGGUGGGGGUUGGAAAGUUUCGGCGGUUGGGGAUGGACUCGCGGCUUAUCAGCUUGUUGGUGGGGUAGUGGCUUACCAAGGCUUUGACGGGUAGCCGGCCUGAGAGGGUGACCGGCCACAUUGGGACUGAGAUACGGCCCAGACUCCUACGGGAGGCAGCAGUGGGGAAUAUUGCACAAUGGGCGGAAGCCUGAUGCAGCAACGCCGCGUGCGGGAUGACGGCCUUCGGGUUGUAAACCGCUUUCGCCUGUGACGAAGCGUGAGUGACGGUAAUGGGUAAAGAAGCACCGGCUAACUACGUG